Molecule: long non-coding RNA, 217 nt
Filed under: Capsicum annuum
Lineage: Eukaryota; Viridiplantae; Streptophyta; Magnoliopsida; Solanales; Solanaceae
Description: long non-coding RNA (CANN_LNC017051)
Source: RNAcentral
CGGCAGCAGAUAAAAUGGCAUUUACUCACCAACUACUUAACUAUCAUCUAUUGCCUGGUAAAAUUAACACGCAAAGAUAUGAUUUCGCUACAUAUCCACUAUACGAAUGGUCAUAGAGAAACCUUCGUGACCACUGGCCUUUGCUUCAGGAAAUCCAUCAAGACUCCACUGAAUCGCUGUUGACAAUUAAGUGCAAAAAUGCCUCAUAAAUUUCAUA